RNAcentral lists this transfer RNA (74 nucleotides) under Clostridiaceae bacterium. Its description in RNAcentral is "tRNA-Gly". It matches the Rfam family "tRNA". Rfam says of the family: Transfer RNA (tRNA) molecules are approximately 80 nucleotides in length. Their secondary structure includes four short double-helical elements and three loops (D, anti-codon, and T loops). RNAcentral also lists the same sequence under 2 other names. The record is from RNAcentral. Lineage: Bacteria; Bacillati; Bacillota; Clostridia; Eubacteriales; Clostridiaceae.
GCGGGUGUAGUUCAAUGGUAGAACGUCAGCCUUCCAAGCUGAUCACGAGAGUUCGAUUCUCUUCACCCGCUCCA